RNAcentral lists this non-coding RNA (84 nucleotides) under Phenylobacterium sp. RNAcentral describes it as "ZTP sequence". It matches the Rfam family "ZMP/ZTP riboswitch aptamer (pfl RNA motif)". Rfam says of the family: Previously known as pfl RNA. Lineage: Bacteria; Pseudomonadati; Pseudomonadota; Alphaproteobacteria; Caulobacterales; Caulobacteraceae. The record is from RNAcentral.
CAGCAUCCGCGUGACUGGCGAAAUCGAGGUGGGCGACCACCGGGGAGCGCGGAUCUCAUAGCGCCGCUCGCCUGGGCAAUUUCC